This is a non-coding RNA of Pelobates cultripes (western spadefoot toad), 427 nucleotides long. The record is from the annotation of a GenBank genome assembly. NCBI's taxonomy places the organism in Eukaryota, Metazoa, Chordata, Amphibia, Anura, Pelobatidae.
CCCCUGUGGAUCACCUCUGUUGUUGUAACAGAAGUCAUCAAUCCAUGUUCUUGUAGAAAGCUUUCCACUUCACGUUCUGUCUUGGGCCACGUGGAGAUCUGGUUUUAUCCAAUAAUGUUCUGCUUGUUGUGAAACUACAUCCCCCAUGAUGCCUUUCUCGGCAUGCAGGCUGGUGGUACUGAACUCCUAUGAUGCCUUGCUGGUAAUGUACCAAGGGAGUUGUAUAGUCGCAUAGUCAUGUUAAACUGUAAUUCCUGGAUCACUGCCCCAGGGCUAUCUCUUAGUCAUUGGGGGGGAGCGAACCCAUCUAGGGCUGUAGAUGGUGGUAGAUAUUCUGGGAUGUGAAAUGUACCAAGCAUGUGCUUGUCUGGAUCAUGAAAUGUGUUCUAACAAGUCUUAGACCUGGAACUUUAUUUUUUAUUUUUUU